Hydra vulgaris (swiftwater hydra) is the source of this 620-nucleotide long non-coding RNA. RefSeq lists it as uncharacterized. The record is from RefSeq and is a predicted model, not a curated record. NCBI's taxonomy places the organism in Eukaryota, Metazoa, Cnidaria, Hydrozoa, Anthoathecata, Hydridae.
UUUAUCUAGUGCAUAUAUUUGUUAAUAUUAUUUUAUUUGUUUUUAUUAUAUUGAUUAAUAAGUCAAUAUUAUUUUGAUAACUAUGUAUUCAACUGAGAGGGAAAUUCUAAAACAACAUAUUGGAUGGAAAAAUGGUUGGGAAGAUAGGUGCCCAUUCUGUUCCUAUCUUCAGAAGUUAUUUAUACCUAUGCAAUACCUUCGCUCAGGUUAAAGAAUGGAAUACUAGUCUUGCAUCAAAUAUAUAUUACAUAUCCAUUCGAUGUUUAUCACCAGAAGUUAGUUCUACCUUUGCAGUACCUCUGUUCUACAUACCUCCUCGCUGGUUAAAGAAUGGAAUAUAAAUCUCAUAUCAAGUUGGUGUAAAAAUUUAGUUCAAUAAAUUAAGAAUUUGUAAACGUUAUCAAAAUUUUGAGUGGAGCAAUUGUUUUUCUGGUUUAGCAUGAGUAUGAAUCUGAUAUCAAUUGGAUGUACAAAGAUAGUUUACUACUUAAAGAACCUGUCAGUAAACCAACUGAUUAUAAAACAGUUUUUAAUGGGAAUAAAAACAAAUUUUCAAAAGAUUUCAAUUAGCUAUUUGUAUAUUCAAACACUUUAUUUACUGAGAGAAGAGACUAUAGAUU